GUGGGGAAUAUUGCACAAUGGGCGCAAGCCUGAUGCAGCCAUGCCGCGUGUAUGAAGAAGGCCUUCGGGUUGUAAAGUACUUUCAGCGGGGAGGAAGGUGUUGUGGUUAAUAACCGCAGCAAUUGACGUUACCCGCAGAAGAAGCACCGGCUAACUCCGUGCCAGCAGCCGCGGUAAUACGGAGGUUGCAAGCGUUAAUCGGAAUUACUGGGCGUAAAGCGCACGCAGGCGGUCUGUCAAGUCGGAUGUGAAAUCCCCGGGCUCAACCUGGGAACUGCAUUCGAAACUGGCAGGCUGGAGUCUUGUAGAGGUGUGUAGAAUUCCAGGUGUAGCGGUGAAAUGCGUAGAGAUCUGGAGGAAUACCGGUGGCGAAGGCGGCCACCUGGACAGGUACUGACGCUGAGGCGCGAAAGCGUGGGGAGCAAACAGGAUUAGAUACCCCAGUAGUCC
RNAcentral lists this ribosomal RNA (450 nucleotides) under uncultured bacterium. Its description in RNAcentral is "partial 16S ribosomal RNA". It matches the Rfam family "Bacterial small subunit ribosomal RNA", at positions 354 to 796 of the family's 1533-position model. The record is from RNAcentral.